GUUCAAGUCCAAGAUGGACCAGCUACGCCAGGGAAAAGAAUAGAAGAAGUAUCUGACUUCUUCAUGCAUGAUCCACUUGUCUCGAGGGGAUAUAGCUCAGUUGGUAGAGCUCCGCUCUUGCAAUGCGUUGAGGCGCAGUAGUUGACUGUACAUCUAGGGGUAAAGCACUGUUUCGGUGUGGGCGGCAAGCGCGGUACAAAAUCGAGGCAAACUCUGAAUACUAGAUAUGACCUCAAAAUAAAUAGGGGUCAAGUUUGGCUAGUGAGACAAUGGGGGAUAAGCUUCAUCGUCGAGAGGGAAACAGCCUAAAUAACCAGCUAAGGCCCCUAAAUGACCGCUCAGUGAUAAAGGAGGUAGGGGUGCAGAGAAAGCCAGGAGGUUCCUAGAAGCAGCCACCAUUGAAAGAGUGCGUAAUAGCUCACUGAUCGAGUGCUCUUGCAUCGAAGAAUAACGGGGCUAAGCGGUCUGCCGAAGCUGUGGUAUGUAAAAAUACAUCGGUAAGGGAGUGUUCCGCCUUAGAGAGAAGCCUGUGUGUGAGCGGUGGUGGAUGAAACAGAAGUGAAAAUGUUGGCUUGACUAACGCAAAAAUUGGUGAGAAUCCAAUGCCCCAAAAAACUAAGGGUUCCUCCGCAAGGUUCGUCCACAGAAGGUGAGUCAGGGCCUAAGAUAAGGCCGAAAGGCGUAGUUUAUGGACAACAGGUGAAUAUUCCUGUACUACUUCUUGUUAGUCCAAGGUACGGAGGAGGCUCGGUUAGCCGAAAGAUGGUUAUAGGUUCAAGAACGUAAGGUGUCCCUGCUUUUUCAGGGUAAGAAGGAGUAGAGAAAAUGCCUCGAGCCUAUGUUCGAAUACUAGGUGCUACGAUGUUGAAUUAACCCAUGGCAUACUCCCACGAAAUGCUCAAACGACGUUAAGCGAGGGUACCUGUACCCAAAACUGACACAGGUGGGUAGGUAGAGAAUCCCUAGGGGCUCGAGACAACACUCUCUAAGGAACUCGGCAAAAUAGCCCUGUAACUUCGGGAGAAGGGGUGCCUAUUCACAAAGGGUGUCGCAGUGACCAGGCUCGGGCGACUGUUUACCAAAAACACAGGUCUCCGAAAAGUCAUAAGACAAUGUACGGGGGUUGACGCCUGCCCACUGACGGAAGGUCAAGAAAGUUAGUGACCUGAUGACAUGGGAGCCAGCGAUUGAAGCCCUGGUGAACGACGGUCUUAACUAUUACGGUCCUAAGGUAGCGAAAUUCUUUUCAGGUAAGUUUUGACCCGCACGAAAGGCGUAACGAUCUGGGCACUGUAUCAGAGAAAGGCUCAGUGAAAUAGACAUGUCUGUGAAGAUGCGCACUACCUGCACCUGGAUAGAAAGACCCUAUGAAGCUUCACUGUUCCCUAGGAUUGGCUUUGGGCCUUUGCUGCGCAGCUUAGGUGGAAGGCAAAGAAGGCCUCCUUCCGGGGGGCCCGAGCCGUCAGUGAGAUACCACGCUGGAAGGGAUAGAAUUCUAACCUUGAAUCAGGACCUACGGGCCAAGGGACAGUCUCAGGUAGACUGUUUCUAUGGAGCGUAGGCCUCUCAAAAGGUAAUGGAGGUGUGCAAAGGUUUCCUCGAGUCGGAUGGAGAUUGGCCCUCGAGUGAAAAGGCAUAAGGGAGCUUGAAUUCAAGAUCUACCCAUCGAAUAGGGAUGAAAGUCGGCCCUAGUGAUCCAAUGGUACCGACUGGAAGGGCCAUCUCUCAACAGAUAAAAUUUACUCUAGGGAUAACAGGUUGAUCUUCCCCAAGAUCUCACAACGACGGGAAGGUUUGGCACCUCGAUGUCGGCUCUUCGCCACCUGGGGAUGUAGUAUGUUCCAAGGGUUGGGUUGUUCUCCCAUUAAAGCGGUAUGUGAUCUAGGUUCAGAAUGUUGUGAGACAGUUUGGUCCAUAUCUGGUGUGGGCUUUAGAGCAUUGAGAGGACCUUUCCCUAGUACGAGAGAAUCGGGAAGGACGCACCUCUGAUGUACCAGUAUCGUGCCCACGGUAAAUGCAGAGUAGCCAAAUGCGGAGCAGAUAACUGCUGAAAGUAUCUAAGUAGUAAGCCCACCCCAAGAUGAGUGAUCUCCUAUUCCGACUUCCCUCAAAGCUUCUGGUAGUACAACCGAGACAGCGACAUGUUCUCUGCCCCUGCGGGGAUAGAGCGACUGAAAUUUUUUUGAGAAUUCAAGAGAAGAUCACGGCGAGACAAGUCGUUUAUCAAUACGAUAGGUGUCAAGUGGAAGUGCAGUGAUGUAUGCAGCUGAGGCAUCCUAACAGACCGGUAGACUUGAACCU
Molecule: non-coding RNA, 2301 nt
Organism: Solanum lycopersicum (tomato)
Lineage: Eukaryota; Viridiplantae; Streptophyta; Magnoliopsida; Solanales; Solanaceae
Source: Rfam